CGGGUUCUGCAGUGGCGGACGGGUGAGUAUCGCGUAGGGAUUUAUCGUUGGGUGGGGGACAACCUUGGGAAACUGGGGCUAAUACGCAUGACGCCUUUGGGCCAAAGCUUUAGGGUGCCUGACGAGAAGCCUGCGUCCGAUUAGGUAGUUGGUGGGGUAAAGGCCUACCAAGCCUGCGAUCGGUAGCUGGUCUGAGAGGAUGAUCAGCCACACUGGGACUGAGACACGGCCCAG
This 234-nucleotide ribosomal RNA is filed under the name uncultured bacterium. Its description in RNAcentral is "partial 16S ribosomal RNA". It matches the Rfam family "Bacterial small subunit ribosomal RNA", at positions 84 to 334 of the family's 1533-position model. The record is from RNAcentral.